RNAcentral lists this transfer RNA (68 nucleotides) under Botrimarina mediterranea. RNAcentral describes it as "Planctomycetes bacterium Spa11 tRNA-Ser". Lineage: Bacteria; Pseudomonadati; Planctomycetota; Planctomycetia; Pirellulales; Lacipirellulaceae. The record is from RNAcentral.
CGGUCGCUUGGGAAGCGGGCAAUCUCGACGCCCAGGGCGUCGGGUCGGGUUCGGGUCCCGGCGACUUC